CAAGCAAACAAAAAUCACAAACAACUUCAUAGAUCCAGACUCCCCAAACCCAGUUUUCUGCAGAUAACUACACAUGGUUUGGCUGUGAUUGGGAAGAAGUAUAAAUACUCCAGAUCUCUGUAAGUCUGGGGACCUUCCUGUCUUCAGUUGUCCCAGGAGACUGAUAAAAGUGUAUACAUGUGAGUCUGUGUAGACUUACAUCCUGUUAAUAUUUGAUCUAUUCUAGAGAUAUAAACAAGUAGUUAAGAUAUUCCAGGUCUUUCUGUUAGACUUAUCACUUUGAAUGCGGUUUGAGGCAUGAAUGUUGGUCCUGGGAAGGAUAUUAAAUGGAGUCUCUGCAAGUAUGCAUUCCCUGCAAGCACAUGGCUGCUCUGUCUGCUCUUGAGUUUAGAGACAUAAUUCCCAGAUCUUUGAUGCUUCAUUCCAAGAAAUCUAAUCAAAUCCAGUACCAGGAAGAACCAAUAUGGUUAGGGUCUGCUAAGAAAGAAUAUAUAUAUAUAUAUUCAGAAUUUUGCCUCCAGGACCAAAUAAAUAGAUUUCCUUAUUAUUGCUACAAUCCGAUCUCCAACGUACAAAAUGAGGAUAAAAUAAUAAAAAUAAAAGACAUAAAGUACAAAACGGCAGAGUAAAAACAUGAAACAAUCCAGAGGGGCUGGAGCGCCUCGGUGACAUCUCCUCAGAUAAUAAUAAGGAAAAGUGGUCCAAUGUUUACCCAGCUCAGCAUCCUGCCAGCUUCCCCAGGGAAUGAAAUCUCUCUCUCCUCCGGGUGGCACUUACUCUCCUGCAUAUGUAUUGACAUGAAAUUGCCUACAGAGAGAUCACAGCUUGGGGCAAGCUUUGUGGAGGAUGAAGGGGCUAAUUAAUACCUUGUGAAGAAAGGAACCAAGAAGCAAUCAUGCGUCCCUUUGGAAAGUGUCAACAUUUCUGCCAAGAGCAAAGUUCUGCAGUGGUGACAUCUUUUUGCUGUGGACAGACAUGUGUGCUACCCAAAGGCAUGCCAAGUUUGUGGUUAAGUGAUCUGCAAUUCUAGCUGCAGGACUUAUGAGUAACAGCUGAAGACAAGGAAGGAAGAAGAGUCCCAGGAGCUUUGGAGACUGCCUAAGAGACCCAGGAUGUCUUAAUUGCCAAAAGAUAUUGUGAAUUCCCACAUGCAGCUGGGGAAGCCACUCUGCUGCUUGAAGGUACAUGUGGAACAGCCAACAUCUGUGAGUUGCCAAGGACCUGGGAACAGGGUGAGAAGAUAUUUAAAAAGGAGUGCCCACCAGCAAAGCCAGUGAUGGAGAGAGCAAUCACCACCACCUCUGGCUGAGGCGUGCCUACAAGGAAGAUCGGAAGGAGGAUAUUGACCAAGUGUUCAGGAGUCUAGCUGAGAAUUCCUCACUGCUUACUGCGGUUCUAAUCCCAGCUGUCAGCCAAGAGCCCCAGAUGUGUGGCUGCAGGAAAGGGGAUGCCAUCCAACACUCCAUGCAGUUCAGAAAAGAUCUCUCCAUGGAAGUGCUUAGGUCAAACACAGAAAGGGCUGUUUCCAAAGACCUGGCUUCAUCAUAGAACAGCAGCAUCCCUUACAGAUGACUCCUAUGUGAACUGACCUGGCCUCCUCUCCCUUUCAUUUGUCAGGUGGACAUCUGUCAUGUGAUAUGUAGGAAAUGAGACCCUGUAUACGCACAGGUUAGAUUAGACUCCUUUCUUGUAAAAGGAAGAAAGUCUUUAGGUUUUUGUUUUUGUUUUGUUUUGUUUUGUUUUACAGUUUUCAAUUGGUUUAUAGAUCAGAUAGAUUCCAUCAUCCAUGUUUAUAGAUCAGAUAGAUUACAUCAUCCAUGUUCAACUGAACAGUCCCAUAGAUAGGUCAGUCAUUUUAGAAGAUUUCUAUAGAGAAAUAAUAGAAUAAUCCGAGUUCAAGCACAAGUGAACAAGAAGAAAACGGCAGAGCUGACACUUGGCUGCUGCCCACAGCUCUGCAUGAGCAGCUCCACAAAGGAUGCCAGUCACGACCCAGUAUACGCCUCCCAGCAGGACCACACUGAAGCUAGCAUCCUUGGUCUCCACGCUGGAGAUGGCACUUUAAUGACACACGCAGAAGCAAUUGUUGUUUUAAAAGAAACCACUGCUAUUUGCUGAAAAUAUCACAGACACAGGUGUUCAGAAAUAUUUCUGUAACUGUGAUUUUAUCACCCAAACCAAUAAUUCACCUGUUUAAAUAAAAUAGCAACAGGAAAUCUUGCCAGUUGUGAAGUUUAUUUAAAAAAAUCUAGAAAAUAUAAUUUCUAAUUUUGAAAAAAUUUGAAUUAUGGAGUUUUAGUGUAAUUAUAACCCAUUUGUUAAUGUAAAUGCAGUGUGUGGUUGGAUGGAUACAGUAACAUGCAUGGUAUAAAUGUAUGAAAUUUUCAAAGAAUGAAUAAAAAGUCAGAUGACUGACAUAAUAAAGAACAACCACAGGAUUAGUUUAUAGAUCAAAUUUUAAGCAAAUUGGCUCCUGGAUUUUAUCGCUGAGAAUCAUUAUUGUCUAGGAACAGAACCAAAAUCUUCUUGAGUACCACUUGGAGACAUGUUCACCAGUUAAAAACAAUGAAACAGGGCUGGAGUGAUGGCUUUGCCGUUAAGAGUGUGAAGUACUGCUCUUCUGGAGAGCCUGAGUUUGGUUCUAGCACUCAACCUCAGGAAGCUCAUAGCCAGCAACUCCAUCUCCAGGGACACCCCACCCCCAACUUCUUACCUCCAUGGGCACCUGCGUACAUGUACACAUACAUACAGAGACACUUAAAUAAAGAUAAGUCUUUAA
Peromyscus maniculatus bairdii (prairie deer mouse) is the source of this 2779-nucleotide non-coding RNA. NCBI's taxonomy places the organism in Eukaryota, Metazoa, Chordata, Mammalia, Rodentia, Cricetidae. The record is from RefSeq and is a predicted model, not a curated record.